This 775-nucleotide ribosomal RNA is filed under the name uncultured Neocallimastigales. Its description in RNAcentral is "partial large subunit ribosomal RNA". It matches the Rfam family "Eukaryotic large subunit ribosomal RNA", at positions 24 to 616 of the family's 3401-position model. The record is from RNAcentral. Lineage: Eukaryota; Fungi; Neocallimastigomycota; Neocallimastigomycetes; Neocallimastigales.
UACGACUACAUAUCAGGCAUAUCAAUAAGCGGAGGAAAAGAAACUAACUAGGAUUCCCUCAGUAACGGCGAGUGAAGCGGGAAGAGCUCAAAUUUGAAAUCUUCAAGGUUCUACCUUGACGAAUUGUAGUUUAAAGAAGUGUUUUCUGUUGGAGUUUUGGUAAAAGUUCUUUGGAAUAGGACAUCAUAGAGGGUGAGAAUCCCGUAUUUGACCAUUAUUUUCAGCUGUGUGAUACACUUUCAAAGAGUCGGAUUGUUUGGGAAUGCAGUCCAAAAUGGGUGGUAAAUUUCAUCUAAAGCUAAAUAUUGGCGAGAGACCGAUAGCGAACAAGUACCGUGAGGGAAAGAUGAAAAGAACUCUGAAAAGAGAGUUAAACAGUACGUGAAAUUGUCAAAAGGGAAGCGUUUGACACCAGUGUUGUUUUCUCGAAAAUCAAUUAAAAAUAGUUGGAUUUUGUGUUGUAUUGACCUUAACAGCUUGCUUCACUCUUUUCCAGCUUUUUUUAAUGCACUUUUCGUUUAACAAGUCAACAUCAGUUUCCUUUUGUUGUAAAAGGGUCAUUGGAAGGUGGCUUUCUCUUCGGAGAAAGUGUUUAUAGCCUUUGAUCUCUGCAAUCGGAGAGAUUGAGGUCUGCAGCGUAGAUCCUUCGGGGUUAGAUACAUUUGUGCUAAGCUACAGCUUUUCAUAGACAACUUGUUGACUAUGUUUAGUCUUGUGACUUACCCGCUUAUGCUAUUUUACCUACGCUUAGGAUGUUGAGCGCAUGUCUCUCUCU